UACAGAAGCCUCAAGCGUUACCCGGAAUCACUGGGCGUAAAGGGUGUGUAGGUGGUGUGAUUAGUCGGGCGUUAAAUCCUGGGGCUCAACCUCAGGACCGCGUUCGAAACGGUCACACUUGAGGUAGUGAGAGGUGUGUGGAACUCACGGUGUAGGGGUGAAAUCCGUUGAUAUCGUGGGGAACACCAAAAGCGAAGGCAGCACACUGGCACUUACCUGACACUGAGACACGAAAGCGUGGGUAGCGAAUGGG
RNAcentral lists this ribosomal RNA (253 nucleotides) under uncultured bacterium. RNAcentral's name for it is "partial 16S ribosomal RNA". It matches the Rfam family "Bacterial small subunit ribosomal RNA", at positions 524 to 776 of the family's 1533-position model. The record is from RNAcentral.